UUAGCAUGGAAUAAUGAAAUAGGACGCGUGGUUCUAUUUUGUUGGUUUCUAGGACCGCCGUAAUGAUUAAUAGGGACAGUCGGAGGCAUCAGUAUUCAAUUGUCAGAGGUGAAAUUCUUGGAUUUAUUGAAGACUAACUACUGCGAAAGCAUUUGCCAAGGAUGUUUUCAUUAAUCAGGAACGAAAGUUAGGGGAUCGAAGACGAUCAGAUACCGUCGUAGUCUUAACCAUAAACUAUGCCGACUAGGGAUCGGACGAUGUUAUUUUUUGACGCGUUCGGCACCUUACGAGAAAUCAAAGUGCUUGGGCUCCAGGGGGAGUAUGGUCGCAAGGCUGAAACUUAAAGAAAUUGGCGGAAGGGCACCACCAGGGGUGGAGCCUGCGGCUUAAUUUGACUCAACACGGGGAAACUCACCAGGUCCAGACACAAUGAGGAUUGACAGAUUGAGAGCUCUUUCUUGAUUUUGUGGGUGGUGGUGCAUGGCCGUUCUUAGUUGGUGGAGUGAUUUGUCUGCUUAAUUGCGAUAACGAACGAGACCUUAACCUGCUAAAUAGCCCGCAUUGCUUUGGCAGUACGCCGGCUUCUUAGAGGGACUAUCGGCUCAAGCCGAUGGAAGUUUGAGGCAAUAACAGGUCUGUGAUGCCCUUAGAUGUUCUGGGCCGCACGCGCGCUACACUGACGGAGCCAGCGAGUACUUCCUUGGCCGAAAGGCCCGGGUAAUCUUGUUAAACUCCGUCGUGCUGGGGAUAGAGCAUUGCAAU
This 762-nucleotide ribosomal RNA is filed under the name uncultured Sordariomycetes. RNAcentral's name for it is "SSU rRNA". It matches the Rfam family "Eukaryotic small subunit ribosomal RNA", at positions 804 to 1590 of the family's 1831-position model. The record is from RNAcentral. Lineage: Eukaryota; Fungi; Ascomycota; Sordariomycetes.